UGCCAGCCGCCGCGGUAAUACGGAGGGGGCAAGCGUUAUUCGGAUUUAUUGGGCGUAAAGGGCGCGUAGGCGGCUUGAUAAGUCAAAGGUGAAAUCCCUCGGCUCAACCGGGGAACUGCCUUUGAAACUGUCUGGCUAGAGUUCGGGAGAGGGUAGCGGAAUUCCUAGUGUAGCGGUGAAAUGCGUAGAUAUUAGGAGGAACACCAGUGGCGAAGGCGGCUUUCUGGACCGAUACUGACGCUGAGACGCGAAAGCGUGGGGAGCAAACAGGAUUAGAUA
This 279-nucleotide ribosomal RNA is filed under the name uncultured bacterium. RNAcentral describes it as "partial 16S ribosomal RNA". It matches the Rfam family "Bacterial small subunit ribosomal RNA", at positions 506 to 784 of the family's 1533-position model. The record is from RNAcentral.